This 269-nucleotide ribosomal RNA is filed under the name uncultured archaeon. RNAcentral describes it as "partial 16S ribosomal RNA". It matches the Rfam family "Archaeal small subunit ribosomal RNA", at positions 477 to 747 of the family's 1478-position model. The record is from RNAcentral.
CAGCGCCACGAGUGGCAGCCGUGUAUUUGGCCUAAAGCGUCCGUAGCUGGUUGUAUAAAUCUUUUGUGAAAUUGUCAGGCUUAACCUGGCAGAGUGCAGAGGACACUGCUAAUCUUGAGACCGGGAGGAGUUAGAGGUAUUUAAGGGGUAGCGGUAAAAUGCGAUAAUCCCUUGAGGACCACCUGUGGCGAAGGCGUCUAACUAGAACGGAUCUGACGGUGAGGAACGAAGCCCUGGGGCGCAAACCGGAUUAGAUACCCGAGUAGUCC